Long non-coding RNA from Cervus elaphus (red deer), 401 nucleotides. RefSeq lists it as uncharacterized. The transcript has 3 exons. The record is from RefSeq and is a predicted model, not a curated record. Lineage: Eukaryota; Metazoa; Chordata; Mammalia; Artiodactyla; Cervidae.
UGCCCGUCGGAUGACAGUAAAGACUGUAUUUCCAUGAUUAGCAUUGCACAAUCAUCACAAGGUACAUGAUUUGUAUGUUCAUAAAGUUAAAUCAAAAAUAGGAAGAAAAGAGAGAAAACUCCAAAAUUGUUCACAAAUGCAAACAAAUAAACCUGACUGUAAAUUAAUUUAAGAGCCUAACUGUACAACAAAAAGAAUAAUUUCAAGAAACUUGAAAAAAAUACCUUGACCAUACAUCUGAGUUUCUGCACCUUUGUCCACUGAAAGAGCUUAGAAGCAAGAACUCCAGGAGCAAUGAGACCACCCAGUGUCCGGUCUUGAUUUCUAAGACCACUAACCACCUAAAGGAACUAAAUCUUUCUGGAGAAGCAGUUGAUUCCAGAUUCGAGGAAAGGAAAGUA